CAGCUACAACAGCGCAGAUCCUACAGAAUACUAGCACCUGAUUUCUGACUUCUCCAGCACUGGCACCUCCAGAGGCAACCUAGCGGAAUACAAGUGUUGAUGCCACUUAGGGUGACUGUUUCAGAUGUCAGGCAUUCUGCCUCUGCCCCGGGUCAAAAAAUUGUGGUAAGAAUGUUUUUAAACCAGGAAAAGGAUGGUUUCCAGCCUCUCUGUCACCAAACUCAACAACAGUCCAAAAAGACUGUUCAAACUAUCAAAACAAAAACAUACCUCCAGAGACAAAGAAUGGAAAGUUUCAUCCCCAAAAGUCAGUCGCCUAGAAUGGCAUUGUGCCUGUUACCACGGAUUGAGGGCUGUGCCAUAGUAAACUCCAGCCAGAUGGUCUGGACACGCCUGAGCUGAAGAAAUCUUUUGUAAUAAAAUGACUAUCCCAGAAUUAACUUUAAAAAAAAGCACUUAAUACCUGUAUUGGAAAACAUGUCUUCAUAGCUGCCAGUCAGCAGCAGGGCCACGAACACUCACUCUCGCCACACACAAAUACCACUGAAAGGCUUCUUUUCUUACAAUGUAUAGUGUCACAGUGAUUGCUAAGAUGCUUUUUGGAACUUCUCCAACCCCUGGGCAAAAAUAAA
Dermochelys coriacea (leatherback sea turtle) is the source of this 632-nucleotide long non-coding RNA. RefSeq lists it as uncharacterized. The transcript has 3 exons. Lineage: Eukaryota; Metazoa; Chordata; Testudines; Dermochelyidae. The record is from RefSeq and is a predicted model, not a curated record.